Molecule: long non-coding RNA, 318 nt
Filed under: Homo sapiens (human)
Lineage: Eukaryota; Metazoa; Chordata; Mammalia; Primates; Hominidae
Description: non-protein coding lnc-ATP6V1E2-9:1
Source: RNAcentral
AUGUCAGAGUACCUGGAAACCGAAGAACUUUCUAUAAGAAGUGUGGUACACAUCAGCCUCACAGAGCCACCCGGUAUAAGAAGGGCAAGGAUUCCCUGAGUGCCCAGAGAAGGAGUGCUGUGAUGGGAAACAGAGUGGCAAUGGUGGGCAAACAAAGCCAGUUUUCCAGAGGAAGGCUAACAUCACCAAGAGCUUUGUGCCAAGGCUGGAACAUGUCGCACCCAACUGCAGAUCAAGAGGAUGCUGGCUAUUCAGAGAUACGAGCACUUUGAGCUGGGAGGAGAUAAGAGGAGAAAGAGCCAAGUGAUCCAGUUCUAA